AUGCGUGCAGGCACAUGGGAGGUCUUUCCGUUGGCAGUGCACAGGCACCGCAGGUGGCAUAUUAUUAAAAAGGCCGAGGAGACGCUAGGACCAUUUAUUGCUGACCGUCUAGAGCUGCACAAGGCAUUCGAGUUAUGCGUGGACCACAGCCUGACGGUGGAGGAGUUUGAACGGAGUUGGGCGGCUAUGAUUGAAACAUACCAAGUCCAAGACAACGAGACACUUACUGGCCUGUGGGAGAAGCGAAUGUACUGGGUGCUGGCCUACUUCAUGCAGUGCUUCUUCCCAUUUCUGCAGACUACGCAACGCAGCGAGGGGUUCAACGUUGUUUUGAAGCGGUACGUGACCCCUGGAAACUCAUUGCUGUAGUUUGCCAAGCAAUACAAAGCUUUGCAACAGAAAAUACUGGUAUCUAAGCUACAGCAAGAAGCGAACACCGCACUCAAGCAGCCUAAAUUGCUAACAUAUUUGCCAAUGGAGAGGCAGAUGAGCAAGAUAUAUACCAACACAUUUUUUAACAAGUAA
Molecule: ribosomal RNA, 525 nt
Filed under: Triticum aestivum (bread wheat)
Lineage: Eukaryota; Viridiplantae; Streptophyta; Magnoliopsida; Poales; Poaceae
Description: partial small subunit ribosomal RNA
Source: RNAcentral